Molecule: ribosomal RNA, 449 nt
Filed under: uncultured bacterium
Lineage: Bacteria
Description: bacterial SSU rRNA
Rfam family: Bacterial small subunit ribosomal RNA
Source: RNAcentral
GUAGGGAAUUUUCGGCAAUGGGCGAAAGCCUGACCGAGCAACGCCGCGUGAAGGAAGAAGUCAUUCGUGAUGUAAACUUCUGUUAUAAAGGAAGAACGGCGCCUGUAGGGAAUGACAGGCGAGUGACGGUACUUUAUGAGGAAGCCACGGCUAACUACGUGCCAGCAGCCGCGGUAAUACGUAGGUGGCGAGCGUUAUCCGGAAUCAUUGGGCGUAAAGAGGGAGCAGGCGGCAGUGCAGGUCUGCGGUGAAAGCCCGAAGCUAAACUUCGGUAAGCCGUGGAAACCGCACAGCUAGAGAGCAUCAGAGGAUCGCGGAAUUCCAUGUGUAGCGGUGAAAUGCGUAGAUAUAUGGAGGAACACCAGUGGCGAAGGCGGCGGUCUGGGGUGCAGCUGACGCUCAGUCCCGAAAGCGUGGGGAGCAAAUAGGAUUAGAAACCCCAGUAGUCC